GACGAACGUUGGCGGCGUGCUUAAUACAUGCAAGUCAACUGAAGCAGUGGUAGCAAUAUCGCUGUGGAGGUGGCGCACGGGUGAGUAACACGUAGGUAAUCUGCCUUCAGGUCUGGCAUAACUCCGGGAAACCGGGGCUAAUAGCAGAUGAUGCAGCGGCUCGACAUCGAGACAGUUGUUAAAGCUAUGGCGCCUGAAGAUGAGCCUGCGUCUGAUUAGCUAGUUGGCGGGGUAACGGCCCACCAAGGCAACGAUCAGUAGCUGGUCUGAGAGGAUGAUCAGCCACACUGGAACUGAGACACGGUCCAGACUACUACGGGAGGCAGCAGUAAGGAAUAUUGCUCAAUGGGAGAAAUCCUGAAGCAGCAACGCAGCGUGAGGGACGAAGGGCGUUUGCUUGUAAACCUCUGUAGUGAGAGAAAAAAAUCCCAAUCUUUGGGACAUGAUGGUAUCUCAAAAGUAAGCCCCGGCUAACUACGUG
RNAcentral lists this ribosomal RNA (481 nucleotides) under uncultured bacterium. RNAcentral describes it as "partial 16S ribosomal RNA". It matches the Rfam family "Bacterial small subunit ribosomal RNA", at positions 28 to 507 of the family's 1533-position model. The record is from RNAcentral.